AACUGUGAAAUAUUUCCAGGCCAAGUCCACAAUAACUUUGACUUAGUCGGUUUGAGCAACGGUCAAGUGUGACUUGACUUAAGUCAGUGCAGUGGUUCUGUCACAAAAAACCUAACACCAUGUUGAAGUUAAGGUACGACCACAUAUAUGGCAACCAGGUGCGAUGGUAUCCUUCUUCCAGAUACUAUUACGAUAACGCACUGGGACCUCUAUCAACUUACUGGCCCCUUGGUUACAACCGUCUCUUUCCCUAUCACUGGCCAGUUAGUUUGCUUGAUUUGUGGCCUACUGAGCAUCAUCUCAGGAAGAUAAGAGUUCGUAACAACUUGUACACUUUGCGGUGAAGAGAUAUUGAAGUAUGGCUGUGAUAUAAUAUAAAAUAGAUUUACUAAAGAAUGUAAUUUCAGCUUGUUAACGUUGAUUUUGUGUUUAAUAAAGAAUUGUAAACAAAA
Anoplophora glabripennis (Asian longhorned beetle) is the source of this 452-nucleotide long non-coding RNA. RefSeq lists it as uncharacterized. The record is from RefSeq and is a predicted model, not a curated record. NCBI's taxonomy places the organism in Eukaryota, Metazoa, Arthropoda, Insecta, Coleoptera, Cerambycidae. The transcript is spliced from 3 exons.